RNAcentral lists this transfer RNA (73 nucleotides) under candidate division WOR-1 bacterium RIFCSPHIGHO2_01_FULL_53_15. RNAcentral describes it as "tRNA-Thr". It matches the Rfam family "tRNA". From Rfam's summary of the family: Transfer RNA (tRNA) molecules are approximately 80 nucleotides in length. Their secondary structure includes four short double-helical elements and three loops (D, anti-codon, and T loops). Further hydrogen bonds mediate the characteristic L-shaped molecular structure. tRNAs have two regions of fundamental functional importance: the anti-codon, which is responsible for specific mRNA codon recognition, and the 3' end, to which the tRNAs corresponding amino acid is attached (by aminoacyl-tRNA synthetases). tRNAs cope with the degeneracy of the genetic code in two manners: having more than one tRNA (with a specific anti-codon) for a particular amino acid; and 'wobble' base-pairing, i.e. permitting non-standard base-pairing at the 3rd anti-codon position. Lineage: Bacteria; Bacillati. RNAcentral also lists the same sequence under 1 other name. The record is from RNAcentral.
GCCGGCGUAGCUCAGUUGGUAGAGCAGUUGUUUUGUAAACAACAGGUCGCCAGUUCAACCCUGGCCGCCGGCU